This is a long non-coding RNA of Ipomoea nil (Japanese morning glory), 102 nucleotides long. RefSeq lists it as uncharacterized. NCBI's taxonomy places the organism in Eukaryota, Viridiplantae, Streptophyta, Magnoliopsida, Solanales, Convolvulaceae. The record is from RefSeq and is a predicted model, not a curated record. The transcript has 3 exons.
AUUAGUAGCAUAUGUGAAAAACAACAUAUUUCACCAUGUCAAGAGGUCAGCGAAUCAUAUCGCUCAUGUGCUUGCACGGGCAACUGGUUCCUCGUCUGUCCU